This 449-nucleotide ribosomal RNA is filed under the name uncultured Allobrachymonas sp. Its description in RNAcentral is "bacterial SSU rRNA". It matches the Rfam family "Bacterial small subunit ribosomal RNA", at positions 925 to 1382 of the family's 1533-position model. The record is from RNAcentral. Lineage: Bacteria; Pseudomonadati; Pseudomonadota; Betaproteobacteria; Burkholderiales; Comamonadaceae.
ACAAGCGGUGGAUGAUGUGGAUUAAUUCGAUGCAACGCGAAAACCUUACCACCUUGACAUGGCAGGAAUCCCGAAGAGAUUGGGAGUGCUCGAAAGAGAACCUGCACACAGGUGCUGCAUGGCUGUCGUCAGCUCGUGUCGUGAGAUGUUGGGUUAAGUCCCGCAACGAGCGCAACCCUUGCCAUUAGUUGCUACGAAAGGGCACUCUAAUGGGACUGCCGGUGACAAACCGGAGGAAGGUGGGGAUGACGUCAAGUCCUCAUGGCCCUUAUAGGUGGGGCUACACACGUCAUACAAUGGCCGGUACAGAGGGUAGCCAACCCGCGAGGGGGAGCCAAUCCCACAAAGCCGGUCGUAGUCCGGAUCGCAGUCUGCAACUCGACUGCGUGAAGUCGGAAUCGCUAGUAAUCGCGGAUCAGCAUGUCGCGGUGAAUACGUUCCCGGGUCUU